UGACACAUAAAGUAUAAAUAUUAUUUAUAUUAUUGGGUAAAAUGUGACGUUUCUUUGUAUGUCUGCAUCAGAUAGGGUCUAGUGUGCCUCCACUAUAAAUCUGUUUAAAUCUAUCUCCUCAUUUAAUACUUCUUUAUGGUGAAAACUUACAAAAUCUUUUCUUCUGACUUUUUCAAAUGUGCAAUACACUGUUGUUUCCUAUAGUGUGAGUACUGUGUAUUACAAAAUUACUAGUGAUCUGGGGCCUAGAUUGAAAAGGCCUUCUACGACCUUGCUUUCAGGUACAUUGUUUAAUUUCAGAGCUUAACAAUCUUUUUUUUUUUUUUUUUUUUUUUUUUGGUACUGAGAAUCAAACUCAGGACCUCGUGUUUUCCAGGCAGGAACUGUGCCUCUGAGCUACAUCUCCAGCCCAGCAGUAACUUUUAUUAAGAAUAACUAGUAAUAUAUAUUAAUAACAUUGUAAUAAAACCGCUUAAUCUUCAUAGGUUUUUUAUUAGCAAUAGUUUUUGCAGUGACAAAUAACUGACAUAAUUAUUAACUUGCAUUAGUACGCACUUAUAAUGUUAACUAAUAAAAAUGUUGUUUUUUUUUAAUUUUUGUAACUAAUUACCAGAGACUCAGUGCCUCAAAACAGCAGAAACAUUAUUGUUUUACAAUUCUGGGAAUCAGAAAUCUGUGAGGCCAAAAUCAUGGUAUGAACAGGGUUAUCAUCAGAGGCUCAGUGGUCAGAGUCUAUUUUGUCACUCUUCUUUACAUUUAAAAUUUAAAAGCACAGAAUCAAGAAGAUCAGAAAACAGUUUAAGACUUGGUAGCUUCAAAAAACUAUCACGUUUACAUUGUUAUUAUUCUUUGCUUAAUGGCACACCUCUGUCCUGUGACAGAAUUUUCCCCAGAUGAGGAGGAGCCAGAGACCUUUUGGGAGGGGAUGUUUGUGGUUCCACAGUGAAAGCAAGUUGCUCUUCCUGUGAUUUCUGAAGAAGGAAAAAGCCCUUAUGUUUGGUGGAGAAUGUACAAAUGUAUCGGGAUACAGAUCCACUUCUUGUAAUAUAGUGCAUUCUAACAAUUCCAAAGAAAGGAAACUGGGUAUUUUGUCUCAGCAAGGAGAGAAGAGUAACCAACACAAACAGUGAAUGAAAAGAAAAAGACUCUUUCAUCCCCUAUAUCCUAUGAUGUAAUUUCCAUGGUGAUAUUUCCUCUCAUCUGUAAAAAGAACUCCAUUUCAUCAUAACAUUAUUUGCUUUCUGCUUGAACUUUCUCUAUGCAGAUGGUACAGUGUUCUGCUGAGGAGUCAGACCACUGCCCAUAUAAGAGUGUGGACUGUUUCCAUUUUAACACCAACACCUCUCUCUGAUGAUUUCUGCCACAUGCCUAUCAUCAGGAGAUAAUGUGCAGCUGACCCUAAGAUCUUGAUCUAGGUCCAUUUGACCCAGCCUGUGGGGUCUGUGACCUCCACUUAAAAAGAAAAGUUAGACAGUAGACAUUGUGAUUAGUUAACUGUCAGCUGUCCCAAGUUCUAUAAUUUCUUGUUCCUUUGUGUCUGCAGUGAAAAGGAAAAAAAAGGAACUGUGAUUUUCACUACUUUAUUGUAAGCUGUAUUGAUGGUGGCAGUGGCGGUGUCUGGAAUGAAUCAUGUUCUGGAGAUGUUCAAGCUCUAUUUGCUGUCUUCUGAGUUCAGCAAUUGCCUUUGCCUUUUAGCCUCUUCCUAAGAAGCAGGAAAGAGAAAUUGUAAAGCUUAGCAAAAAUAAAGUUUAGCUUCUUUCUUUUGCCUAAA
Cavia porcellus (domestic guinea pig) is the source of this 1771-nucleotide long non-coding RNA. RefSeq lists it as uncharacterized. The record is from RefSeq and is a predicted model, not a curated record. The transcript has 2 exons. Lineage: Eukaryota; Metazoa; Chordata; Mammalia; Rodentia; Caviidae.